UGAGCUAUCAGAAGCCCUCCCCCCCUGGUUCGCUCUCUGCCUCUUGGUUCUACUUUGUUUCUUUCCAGUUAAGUCAGUUUUCAUUCCCUGUAUAAACUGACUACUGAGAACUACUUUUGUUUCACCUACAGUUCUACCUCAUGACAGCAGAGCGACAUGGCUUUUUCAUCUCGCUUUUCCUUCUGGGAAAAAAAGGGAAGUCUUACUCGGAUAUGUGAUUGACACAAUCUUUAAAUGCAUGACCUAACAGGAAUUUUAAGCAAACAAUAACAUCUCUGCUUGUAAAGUCUUUCGUUUUGAAGAAGUUUUCACUUUUCUAAUUUUAUCAUUUGCUGUGGACUUAACUGCUUUUAAUCAUAACGCCAACAUGUUUGGAUUGCAUCACUUUGUUAAAGAAAGGACAGCACGUAAAGAUGAAGGAACAAUUUGCAGUGGUGGCAUCUUUGCAUGUUGAGUUUGGCUCCGUUUGUUAGCAUUAGCUUCAUGUAAGGAGAAGGUUUUGAUUUGGUCUCCUUCUUCACAUCAACACUUUUUAGAUCAAAGAAGAGAACAAGGUGGGGAGCAAAAGUUUGGAAAAAGAUGGACUAGCAAGCCGAGCCCAG
Molecule: long non-coding RNA, 602 nt
Organism: Cyprinodon variegatus (sheepshead minnow)
Lineage: Eukaryota; Metazoa; Chordata; Actinopteri; Cyprinodontiformes; Cyprinodontidae
Exons: 3
Source: RefSeq, a predicted model, not a curated record